RNAcentral lists this ribosomal RNA (842 nucleotides) under Botryosphaeriaceae sp. RNAcentral's name for it is "partial large subunit ribosomal RNA". It matches the Rfam family "Eukaryotic large subunit ribosomal RNA", at positions 87 to 947 of the family's 3401-position model. The record is from RNAcentral. Lineage: Eukaryota; Fungi; Ascomycota; Dothideomycetes; Botryosphaeriales; Botryosphaeriaceae.
CGGCGAGUGAAGCGGCAACAGCUCAAAUUUGAAAGCUGGCCCUUUCAGGGUCCGCAUUGUAAUUUGUAGAGGAUGAUUCGGCGAGGGCUCCCGCCUAAGUCCCCUGGAACGGGGCGUCAUAGAGGGUGAGAAUCCCGUAUGCGGUGGGCUGCCUUAGCCAUGUGAAUCUCCUUCGACGAGUCGAGUUGUUUGGGAAUGCAGCUCUAAAUGGGAGGUAAAUUUCUUCUAAAGCUAAAUACCGGCCAGAGACCGAUAGCGCACAAGUAGAGUGAUCGAAAGAUGAAAAGCACUUUGGAAAGAGAGUUAAAAAGUACGUGAAAUUGUUGAAAGGGAAGCGCUUGCAACCAGACUUGUCCGCAGUUGCUCAGCCGGUCUCCUGACCGGCGUACUCUUCUGCGGCCAGGCCAGCAUCAGUUCGGGCGGUCGGAUAAAGACCUCGGGAAUGUAGCUCCUCUCGGGGAGUGUUAUAGCCCGGGGUGGAAUGCGGCCAGCCUGGACUGAGGAUCUCGCUUCGGCAAGGAUGCUGGCGUAAUGGUUGUAAGCGGCCCGUCUUGAAACACGGACCAAGGAGUCUAACAUCUAUGCGAGUGUUUGGGUGUCAAACCCAUACGCGUAAUGAAAGUGAACGGAGGUGGGAACCCGCAAGGGUGCACCAUCGGCCGAUCCUGAUGUCUUCGGAUGGAUUUGAGCAAGAGCAUAGCUGUUGGGACCCGAAAGAUGGUGAACUAUGCCUGAAUAGGGUGAAGCCAGAGGAAACUCUGGUGGAGGCUCGCAGCGGUUCUGACGUGCAAAUCGAUCGUCAAAUUUGGGUAUAGGGGCGAAAGACUAAUCGAACCAUCUAG